RNAcentral lists this ribosomal RNA (460 nucleotides) under uncultured bacterium. RNAcentral describes it as "partial 16S ribosomal RNA". It matches the Rfam family "Bacterial small subunit ribosomal RNA", at positions 338 to 795 of the family's 1533-position model. The record is from RNAcentral.
CCUACGGGAGGCAGCAGUGAGGAAUAUUGGUCAAUGGGCUUACGCCUGAACCAGCCAAGUCGCGUGAGGGAAGACUGCCCUAUGGGUUGUAAACCUCUUUUGUCAGGGAGCAACGCCGGCCACGUGUAGCCGGACUGAGAGUACCUGAAGAAAAAGCAUCGGCUAACUCCGUGCCAGCAGCCGCGGUAAUACGGAGGAUGCGAGCGUUAUCCGGAUUUAUUGGGUUUAAAGGGUGCGUAGGCGGAAUGCCAAGUCAGCGGUAAAAUCGCGGGGCUCAACCUCGCUCCGCCGUUGAUACUGGCAGUCUUGAGUACAGUUGAGGUAGGCGGAAUUCGUGGUGUAGCGGUGAAAUGCUUAGAUAUCACGAAGAACUCCGAUUGCGAAGGCAGCAUACUAAACUGCCACUGACAUUGAUGCUCGAAAGUGUGGGUAUCGAACAGGAUUAGAUACCCCAGUAGUC